CCAGGAGAGAUGGGAAUAAGGUCAGCUGGGGAGGAAGAGAUGGGAAUUUCCUGGUGGAAGUGAGCCUGCCUCACUCCUGAUCCCUCUAAGACCAGCGGCCACACCUGGCACAGGCGUUUGUGACACAGGGCCUUGGUUAACCCUGGGGGAAGGCACAGCCCGAGGUGCCAAACCACAGGAAUCCUGUCCAGGAGGGAAGGAUCAGGCUGAAUGGGAAUGUGGCUCAGGGGCUGCUGUCCAGAGCCACGUGCUGCUCAGUAACUGGGCUGACACUGCAGCAGAGGGUUCACAGGUAAACACAGUGAGCACAUUUUUAGCAUAUACCUGGGAAUUCAUGGAGGAGGAGAGGAAUGAUUCAGGUAUUUCUAAGGAAUAAAAUCCCAAUGUUCUACCCAUGUCAGAGUAUGUCUGUGAGAUGGGUGGGUUUGAGAGACUGUUAGAAUUUGGGGACUGGAAGAAAGUGAUGCUUUCAGGCAGGUGGGAAACCUUUGGAAAGCCAGUAGUCAUCCAUCCUGCCAGGCAAGGUGGAGCCAGGCUCCUCUGUUCCUCCUCUGUUCCAGCAGUGCCUGGGAGCUGACACUGGGAUCCUUGUCCAGCUCUGAUUCCCCAUUGGUUUGUGCUGGCUCUAUACUUGGAGCACAUUCCUGCAUUCCUACCCCUCGAUCCGAGAAGCUCCAUGGCUAUGACACUGCUCCCCAGUGAAGGGACCAGGCACAGACUGGGCUGAAUUGGCUGGGGACAGCUGAGCUGAGCUGAGCUGAGCUAGCCAGUGGGACCUUUGGCACUGGAUGUGCCAGCCUCUCCUCUGACAUGACUUUUGGGAUAAGGCCCAGAGCAGCUCAGCUGUAGCUGACUCACAGUGCCGGAUAAGCAGAUAAUGAUGGGCUGCGGGAUCACUGGGGAUCCUGUUUGGGCACCUGAACAAAGCUUCUGCUUUUCCUACUAAUAAUGAUAAAAAAAGAUCCAAAAGCCUUUUCAAAGCUUCUCCUGCUUGGAUUUCAGACCCAUGCUGGAGCUGGGAGUGCUUUAAAGCAUGAAAUAACCUGAGAUGUGAGAGAUUUUCCAGUUUCUCAAGACAGACUGUACUUGGCUGUAAUUAUAGAUGUGGUGUAAAGAUAAUGUGCAUUAUUAUAAGUGUCUUUGAAGUCAGUUCUUUCUCCAGGAGGGUUGCUACAUACCCUUCAGAUUCGCAGUGAGAGCUAGUAAAUAUUAUUCCCACUAUUCAGGGGAAGUAGCAGAGGCAGGGAUUUGUAUAAACCUAAAAAACUCAGUAGCUGAGCUAAAAGCAGGAGGCAAGAGUUCCCAGGGCUUUAUCCCAGCUGUGUGUUGAGGGAAGUGAAGAUUGCACACUGUGGGUAUCAGAUCUGCUGCCGUCUCUGUGUGCAUCCAGUCGGGAUGGAGGGACUGGGAUACCUGCAAAGCCUUUUCUUCCAGGGAAACCAGGAAGUGAGAUAUCAAGUGAGGGAAAAAAAAAAAAAAAAGUGAGCCAAACCAUGAGGAAGAUGUUGGUCUUAUCUCUGAGUGGCAUUUGGCCAAAGGCUGGGGUCAAACUCAGCGUGGUCAGAGGUGGGGACAUGGAAAAGUGUCAAAUAUCCACGGCUUGGGAACAUGCCAGUGGAGGGGUUGGGUGCAGGGGUGACACAAUAGGAAGCAGCUCCAACCCCAGGGCUCAGCUGCCCAUGGAAAAGAUUUGGGAGCUGUUGGGAAGGGCUGGCUCAGGUGAAGCCUUGAGCUGCUGGAGAGUGGGAUGGGAUGGACAGACAGAUUGCAGCUGGGAGGGAUGGAUGGACAGAACUGGGUGAGCAUUCUGGUGUCUCAGCACCAAGAAAGGCACAGACAGAGCAAGGCAGGGAUGGCACCGAGAGAGGAAAGGGGGUCAGGUGAUAAAGGAGGGUCAGAGAAAAGGAAAGUAAAGAACCAAGUGAAAUAGCAG
This is a long non-coding RNA of Serinus canaria (Common canary), 1933 nucleotides long. RefSeq lists it as uncharacterized. The record is from RefSeq and is a predicted model, not a curated record. The transcript is spliced from 2 exons. NCBI's taxonomy places the organism in Eukaryota, Metazoa, Chordata, Aves, Passeriformes, Fringillidae.